This 380-nucleotide unclassified non-coding RNA is filed under the name soil metagenome. RNAcentral describes it as "partial contains 5.8S ribosomal RNA, internal transcribed spacer 2, and large subunit ribosomal RNA". The stretch from base 1 to 120 matches the Rfam family "5.8S ribosomal RNA", at positions 35 to 154 of the family's 154-position model. The record is from RNAcentral.
GAUGAAGAACGCAGCGAAAUGCGAUAAGUAAUGUGAAUUGCAGAAUUCAGUGAAUCAUCGAAUCUUUGAACGCACCUUGCACCCUUUGGCAUUCUGAAGGGUAUGCUCGUUUGAGUGUCAUUGUACUCUCACACUCCCGAUCUUUGCAUUGGGAGCAGUGGACUUGGGUUUGCUGCUUCACCGUCGCUUACCUCAAAUAGGUUAGUGCAACUCUUGGUUGGACAUAGUACGGCGUGAUAAGUGUUCUUCGCCGGUGCCUCGCAAAGAGGGCGGCCGAUCGGGAUGUUGUGCUCCAAACCGUCUUCGGACAAUCUCUGACGACUUGACCUCAAAUCGAGUAAGACUACCCGCUGAACUUAAGCAUAUCAAUAAGCGGAGGA